Molecule: long non-coding RNA, 1635 nt
Organism: Callithrix jacchus (white-tufted-ear marmoset)
Lineage: Eukaryota; Metazoa; Chordata; Mammalia; Primates; Cebidae
Source: RefSeq, a predicted model, not a curated record
AGGUGCCGCCAGAUGGUUCCGGCUCUGGAGAAGGGCGGUCCGCAAGCCGGACGAGAACGCCCCCAAACGGAACCUCAAGCCCAGGUUCCACGGAGGCGUCGUCAACCGUAGGCCGCCACCUCCCGGCUGGAGAAGGAGUUGCUUCCUGCUCAAGGCUAACCUGCGUACAGACUGGGAAAUAAAAAGCUUGGAACCCAGAGGCUGCAGCCUGCGGAAAACGCUGGAGCGGCAGCGGUCACCAAGCUAAUGUCUGCGAGCUCACCCUAGCCUCCCAAGUAACUGGAACCACAAGCGUGGGCUACCAUGCCCAACGCUUUGUAGUUUUUGUAGAGAUGAGUUUUUGCCUUGUUGCGCAGGCUGGUCUUGAACUCCUGGACUCAAGCAAUCUGCCUGCCUCAGCCUCCCAAAGUGCUAGGAUUACAGGCAUAAGCUACCAUGCCUUGACCAAAAUUUCUUAAAGAAUGAUGAGAAGCUUGAAGGCAUUCCCACUGGCCAUAUCAGAGACAAUAUGAUUAUCAAAAUAACAAAUAAUGUAUUACAACCCAUUAAAUAAAAUAGAAAACCAUGAGUCCACAAAGCUGUGAAGAAAUAGAUGAAUAAAUUAAACUUUGGAUGAGAAAUUAUAUAGUCACAUAGCUUCAAUGUAACUCCACAGAGAAUACUUAUUAACUAAAAAGGACAAAAAGUAACUUUGUGACCAAGAAGCCCAGCAAAUAUCAUUUUAAUCAAGUGAGCAAAAUGAAUACCAUCAGUAAUAGGAGACAUUGAAACCACGCGCCAGCCUGUUAGGAUGUGAUGAGAAGACUACAACAUAACUUCCAUUUUUCUGUCACAGUUGCGUAACCUGAAUCUAAUCACGAGGAAAGAUAAAACCUAAGGGAUGUUCUACAAAACAACUGGUCUGUAACAUUCAAAAGUGCUUUCUUCAGCUGUCUGGAGUCUGUCCUUAUCCUGUUAUGAUUUAGAGUGAGGGACUAAAGAGCCAACUGGAAACUCUGAGCAGCUGGGCAGGGCUUGUCAAUUUUGAGCACCGUUAUCGUGUCGUCCGGGCCAUUGUUUCUUGGAGAAUCCCAGAAGUUAGUAUCAUCAGCUCUUUCCUCGUAGGCUGGUCUGAAUCACCAAGGAAGACACAUCCAAUCUCUUACAAGUGUUGGCCACCAUGCUAAAUACUAGAGCAAAACUGCAAGCCCAAACUGACCUAGUCCCUGACACCGUGGAGCUGACAUGUUCAUCUGCAUCUCAUUAUUGGACUGCGAAAAUAAACAACCCCACCCUUGGUUUGAUCCAGGAACAAAUUUGGUGAGCCAGCCAGGAGCCACUGGGACAGUGCUCUGUUCAUCAGCCACUGGCUUCUGACAAGAUAGUGUUCGGGAGAUUCCCAGCAGCUGCCAGGUGAGAUUUUCCUGGGGACUUUCCUGAGGGCUAUCUCAUGUGAAAAACCGCAUGUCCCUCUCCCUCCCCGAAAACAACAGAGACUGGGGUGGACAUGCUCAAAGGGUGAAACCAAAUUCUAUGCCGGGAGCCUAUUGUUUUCCUAUCUGGGCUUGUUAAGCCAUUUGCCUGGUACUUCUAGGGAAGCAAUAGGGCUGGCCUACACCCACUUUGCAUUUUGUUAAGAUCAGGUUUUUUUUUUUU